This 982-nucleotide ribosomal RNA is filed under the name Paraleptospora chromolaenicola. RNAcentral describes it as "SSU rRNA". It matches the Rfam family "Eukaryotic small subunit ribosomal RNA", at positions 89 to 1092 of the family's 1831-position model. Lineage: Eukaryota; Fungi; Ascomycota; Dothideomycetes; Pleosporales; Phaeosphaeriaceae. The record is from RNAcentral.
GCGAAUGGCUCAUUAAAUCAGUUAUCGUUUAUUUGAUAGUACCUUACUACUUGGAUAACCGUGGUAAUUCUAGAGCUAAUACAUGCUGAAAACCCCAACUUCGGGAGGGGUGUAUUUAUUAGAUAAAAAACCAACGCCCUUCGGGGCUUCUUGGUGAUUCAUGAUAACUUUACGGAUCGCAUGGCCUUGCGCCGGCGACGGUUCAUUCAAAUUUCUGCCCUAUCAACUUUCGAUGGUAAGGUAUUGGCUUACCAUGGUUUCAACGGGUAACGGGGAAUUAGGGUUCGAUUCCGGAGAGGGAGCCUGAGAAACGGCUACCACAUCCAAGGAAGGCAGCMGGCGCGCAAAUUACCCAAUCCCGACACGGGGAGGUAGUGACAAUAAAUACUGAUACAGGGCUCUUUUGGGUCUUGUAAUUGGAAUGAGUACAAUUUAAACCUCUUAACGAGGAACAAUUGGAGGGCAAGUCUGGUGCCAGCAGCCGCGGUAAUUCCAGCUCCAAUAGCGUAUAUUAAAGUUGUUGCAGUUAAAAAGCUCGUAGUUGAACCUUGGGUCUGGCUGGCAGGUCCGCCUCACCGCGUGUACUUGUCCGGCCGGGCCUUCCUUCUGGAGAACCUCAUGCCCUUCACUGGGCGUGUUGGGGACCAGGACUUUUACUUUGAAAAAAUUAGAGUGUUCAAAGCAGGCCUUUGCUCGAAUACGUUAGCAUGGAAUAAUAGAAUAGGACGUGCGGUCCUAUUUUGUUGGUUUCUAGGACCGCCGUAAUGAUUAAUAGGGACAGUCGGGGGCAUCAGUAUUCAAUUGUCAGAGGUGAAAUUCUUGGAUUUAUUGAAGACUAACUACUGCGAAAGCAUUUGCCAAGGAUGUUUUCAUUAAUCAGUGAACGAAAGUUAGGGGAUCGAAGACGAUCAGAUACCGUCGUAGUCUUAACCGUAAACUAUGCCGACUAGGGAUCGGGCGAUGUUCUUUUUCUGACUCGCUC